UUUCCUGUUUUAGUACCAUUCAUCUGUCCUCUAUCAGUAUGUGUGGCUAUGCUAACAGGAUAGAUAAAAUAUGUCAUAAAUUGCGGGAGUUGCAGCUCUUCCCCUGCAGCCUUCACAUGUCUGACAGUACACUAGAAA
Small nucleolar RNA from Myxocyprinus asiaticus (Chinese sucker), 138 nucleotides. RefSeq annotates it as small nucleolar RNA SNORA29. NCBI's taxonomy places the organism in Eukaryota, Metazoa, Chordata, Actinopteri, Cypriniformes, Catostomidae. The transcript has a single exon. The record is from RefSeq and is a predicted model, not a curated record.